CCUACGGGGCGCAGCAGUGAGGAAUAUUGGUCAAUGGGCGCGAGCCUGAACCAGCCAAGUCGCGUGAGGGAAGCCGGUCCUAUGGCUUGUCCCCCUCUUUUGUCGGGGCGCCACCGACGCCACGCGUGGCGUUCCGAGAGUACCCGAAGAAAAAGCAUCGGCUAACUCCGUGCCAGCAGCCGCGGUAAUACGGAGGAUGCGAGCGUUAUCCGGAUUUAUUGGGUUUAAAGGGUGCGUCGGCGGGCUUUUAAGUCAGCGGUAAAAAUUCGGGGCUCAGCCCCGUCCGGGCGGUGAAACUGGGGGCC
Molecule: ribosomal RNA, 305 nt
Filed under: uncultured bacterium
Lineage: Bacteria
Description: bacterial SSU rRNA
Rfam family: Bacterial small subunit ribosomal RNA
Source: RNAcentral